GAUGAACGCUGGCGGCGUGCCUAACACAUGCAAGUCGAGCGAGAAGUUUGAAAAAUGAGUUUUCGAACAAGUGAUUCAAACGGAAAGCGGCGGACGGGUGAGUAACGCGUAGGCAACCUGCCCCGUGCAGAGGGACAGCCUCGGGAAACCGGGAUUAAGACCUCAUGAUAUCGGGUUAUCACAUGGUAAUCCGGUCAAAGAUUUAUCGGCGUGGGAUGGGCCUGCGUCUGAUUAGCUGGUUGGUGGGGUAACGGCCUACCAAGGCGACGAUCAGUAGCAGAACUGAGAGGUUCAUCUGCCACAUUGGAACUGAGACACGGUCCAAACUCCUACGGGAGGCAGCAGUGAGGAAUAUUGCACAAUGGGCGAAAGCCUGAUGCAGCAACGCCGCGUGAGCGAAGAAGGCCUUUGGGUCGUAAAGCUCUGUCCUUGGGGAAGAAACAAAUGACGGUACCCUUGGAGGAAGCCCCGGCUAACUACGUGCCAGCAGCCGCGUAAAACGU
This 503-nucleotide ribosomal RNA is filed under the name uncultured bacterium. RNAcentral's name for it is "bacterial SSU rRNA". It matches the Rfam family "Bacterial small subunit ribosomal RNA", at positions 28 to 528 of the family's 1533-position model. The record is from RNAcentral.